Long non-coding RNA from Ochotona curzoniae (black-lipped pika), 101 nucleotides. RefSeq lists it as uncharacterized. The record is from RefSeq and is a predicted model, not a curated record. Lineage: Eukaryota; Metazoa; Chordata; Mammalia; Lagomorpha; Ochotonidae. The transcript has 3 exons.
CAGGAGUACCACAAACUAAUCAAUAAAAUGAAUCAUUGAUACCUAUUGUCGCUUCUGGGUGUUCACAUGAUUUUUUUGACAGCUUAAUCGCAAAAGCUAUA